UAAUACGAAGGGGGCUAGCGUUGUUCGGAUUUACUGGGCGUAAAGCGCACGUAGGCGGAUUGUUAAGUUAGGGGUGAAAUCCUGGAGCUCAACUCCAGAACUGCCUCUAAUACUGGCAAUCUAGAGUCCGGAAGAGGUGAGUGGAACUCCUAGUGUAGAGGUGGAAUUCGUAGAUAUUAGGAAGAACACCAGUGGCGAAGGCGGCUCACUGGUCCGGUACUGACGCUGAGGUGCGAAAGCGUGGGGAGCAAACAGG
Molecule: ribosomal RNA, 256 nt
Filed under: uncultured prokaryote
Description: partial 16S ribosomal RNA
Rfam family: Bacterial small subunit ribosomal RNA
Source: RNAcentral